This 222-nucleotide unclassified non-coding RNA is filed under the name fungal sp. RNAcentral describes it as "partial internal transcribed spacer region". The stretch from base 1 to 46 matches the Rfam family "Eukaryotic small subunit ribosomal RNA", at positions 1786 to 1831 of the family's 1831-position model. The record is from RNAcentral. Lineage: Eukaryota; Fungi.
AAGUCGUAACAAGGUUUCCGUAGGUGAACCUGCGGAAGGAUCAUUAACACGUAUCCACGUAUCAACCAACUGUGAACUUGUUUUCAACCCACCUAUUUCACCCCCUUUUUGCUAGUUGACUUUUAUAUGUUGUUUCUUUUGUACUUUAUUGUAUGAUGGAUUCACACGUUUAUUAUUUGAACGUUAAAAUUACAACUCUUAGCAAUGGAUAUCUUGGUUCUC